Molecule: ribosomal RNA, 336 nt
Filed under: uncultured bacterium
Lineage: Bacteria
Description: partial 16S ribosomal RNA
Rfam family: Bacterial small subunit ribosomal RNA
Source: RNAcentral
CCUACGGGUGGCUGCAGUAGGGAAUUUUUCGCAAUGGGCGAAAGCCUGACGCAGCAACGCCGCGUGCUCGAGACGCCCUUUGGGGUGUAAAGAUCCGUCAGUGGGGACGAAACUUGACGGUAACCACAGAGGAAGCACCGGCUAACUCCGUGCCAGCAGCCGCGGUCAUACGGGGGGUGCAAGCGUUGUCCGGAAUCAUUGGGCGUAAAGAGUUCGUAGGCGGCCCGUAAAGGAUGGAGUUAAAGGCAGCGGCUCAACUUCUGUACGGCACUGGAUAAUUGCUAGCUCGCAGGCGGUAGGGGUAAAGGGAAGUCCUGGUGGAGGGGGGAAAUGCUU